This 251-nucleotide ribosomal RNA is filed under the name uncultured bacterium. Its description in RNAcentral is "partial 16S ribosomal RNA". It matches the Rfam family "Bacterial small subunit ribosomal RNA", at positions 524 to 774 of the family's 1533-position model. The record is from RNAcentral.
UACGAAGGGGGCUAGCGUUGUUCGGAAUUACUGGGCGUAAAGCGCGCGCAGGCGGUCCUCCAAGUCAGGGGUGAAAUCCUGGAGCUCAACUCCAGAACUGCCUUUGAUACUGAAGAUCUUGAGUCCGGGAGAGGUGAGUGGAACUGCGAGUGUAGAGGUGAAAUUCGUAGAUAUUCGCAAGAACACCAGUGGCGAAGGCGGCUCACUGGCCCGGUACUGACGCUGAGGCACGAAAGCGUGGGGAGCAAACA